GCAACGCGAAGAACCUUACCUGGUCUUGACAUCCCGGAGACCCUUAGGAAACUAGGGGGUGCUUCCAUCUGGAAGAAUCUGGAGACAGGUGGCUGCAUGGCUGUCGUCAGCUCGUGUCGUGAGAUGUUGGGUUUAAGUCCCGCAACGAGCGCAACCCUUGCCUUUAGUUGCCAGCAGUUCGGCUGGGCACUCUAAAGGGACUGCCGGUGUUAAACCGGAGGAAGGUGGGGAUGACGUCAAGUCCUCAUGGCCUUUAUGACCAGGGCUACACACGUACUACAAUGGCCGAUACAAAGGGCAGCGACACUGCGAGGUGAAGCCAAUCCCGUAAAAUCGGUCUCAGUCCGGAUUGGAGUCUGCAACUCGACUCCAUGAAGUUGGAAUCGCUAGUAAUCGUGGAUCAGCAUGCCACGGUGAAUACGUUCCCGGGCCUU
RNAcentral lists this ribosomal RNA (434 nucleotides) under uncultured Desulfobulbus sp. RNAcentral describes it as "bacterial SSU rRNA". It matches the Rfam family "Bacterial small subunit ribosomal RNA", at positions 956 to 1382 of the family's 1533-position model. Lineage: Bacteria; Pseudomonadati; Thermodesulfobacteriota; Desulfobulbia; Desulfobulbales; Desulfobulbaceae. The record is from RNAcentral.